CCCCUGUUAAUGGUUCCUGGGUAACCUCCACUCACUUCAGUUCCUCUCCAAGCUAUUGUUUUCCAGACUCUAGACUCUUCAUCUUGGAGAAACUGAGUUGCUGGCCCUCACUGCGACGCCAUCUGGGGACACAGUGAUACAUUGUCUUAUAAAAGAAAAUGCCUCUUUGUCUCUCACGAUUCAGGGUUUGAGGGUCUUCCAGGUUCCUUCUCCUACAGGUCGCAGCUGGGGGAAGUCACAGAGUAACAGUUUAGCUGGCUGGGGCAGAUCUCAUCAACAAUCUCAUGAUUGGAACUUUGGCACCAUAGCACAAGAAGAACAGUGUUCAAUGUUUUGGAUCAGAAGGAUUAAAGGUUGCGCAGGACCUGAGGCAAUGGGAAGAGCCUCUCUUUACCGCCUGGCUCUGUUUAUGAGAUGAUCCAUCAGGUUGUCGCAGAGUCUCCACCAAGUCCUUCAGCAACCAGAGGCGUUCCAGAUACAGACCUGUAAAGCAUGGACAAUUACAAAAGGGGAAAGUAACUCGAGAAGAUUAACUCAUCAGCCUCAAAUCACACAGCUCAUGGACAGCAGAGUGGGGGGACCCCACAGCUCUGGACUUCGGGGGUCUGUAGUGG
Long non-coding RNA from Fukomys damarensis (Damara mole-rat), 614 nucleotides. RefSeq lists it as uncharacterized. Lineage: Eukaryota; Metazoa; Chordata; Mammalia; Rodentia; Bathyergidae. The transcript has 4 exons. The record is from RefSeq and is a predicted model, not a curated record.